UGGGGAAUAUUGCACAAUGGGCGCAAGCCUGAUGCAGCCAUGCCGCGUGUAUGAAGAAGGCCUUCGGGUUGUAAAGUACUUUCAGCGAGGAGGAAGGGUAGUGUGUUAAUAGCACAUUGUAUUGACGUUACUCGCAGAAGAAGCACCGGCUAACUCCGUGCCAGCAGCCGCGGUAAUACGGAGGGUGCAAGCGUUAAUCGGAAUUACUGGGCGUAAAGCGCACGCAGGCGGUUUGUUAAGUCAGAUGUGAAAUCCCCGCGCUUAACGUGGGAACUGCAUUCGAAACUGGCAGGCUAGAGUCUUGUAGAGGGGGGUAGAAUUCCAGGUGUAGCGGUGAAAUGCGUAGAGAUCUGGAGGAAUACCGGUGGCGAAGGCGGCCCCCUGGACAAAGACUGACGCUCAGGUGCGAAAGCGUGGGGAGCAAACA
This 427-nucleotide ribosomal RNA is filed under the name uncultured bacterium. RNAcentral's name for it is "partial 16S ribosomal RNA". It matches the Rfam family "Bacterial small subunit ribosomal RNA", at positions 355 to 774 of the family's 1533-position model. The record is from RNAcentral.